GACGAACGCUGGCGGCGUGCUUAACACAUGCAAGUCGAACGGAAAGGCCCUGCUUUUGUGGGGUGCUCGAGUGGCGAACGGGUGAGUAACACGUGAGUAACCUGCCCUUGACUUUGGGAUAACUUCAGGAAACUGGGGCUAAUACCGGAUAGGAGCUCCUGCUGCAUGGUGGGGGUUGGAAAGUUUCGGCGGUUGGGGAUGGACUCGCGGCUUAUCAGCUUGUUGGUGGGGUAGUGGCUUACCCAGGCUUUGACGGGUAGCCGGCCUGAGAGGGUGAUCGGCGACACUGGAACUGAGAGGAGGACAAGGCUCGUACGGGAGGCAGCGGUAGGGAAUCUUCCGCAAGGGGCGAAAGCUGGACGGAGCAGCGCGGCGUGAGUGAUGAAGGUCUCCGGAUCGUAAAACUCUGUUAGUAGGGAAGAACAAAUGUGUAAGUAACUAUGCACGUCUUGACGUGACCGAAUAAGAAAGACACGGCUAACUACGUG
This 488-nucleotide ribosomal RNA is filed under the name uncultured bacterium. RNAcentral's name for it is "partial 16S ribosomal RNA". It matches the Rfam family "Bacterial small subunit ribosomal RNA", at positions 28 to 507 of the family's 1533-position model. The record is from RNAcentral.